RNAcentral lists this ribosomal RNA (492 nucleotides) under uncultured bacterium. RNAcentral describes it as "partial 16S ribosomal RNA". It matches the Rfam family "Bacterial small subunit ribosomal RNA", at positions 29 to 507 of the family's 1533-position model. The record is from RNAcentral.
AGUGAACGCUGGCGGUAGGCCUAACACAUGCAAGUCGAACGGCAGCACAGUAAGAGCUUGCUCUUACGGGUGGCGAGUGGCGGACGGGUGAGGAAUACAUCGGAAUCUACUUUUUCGUGGGGGAUAACGUAGGGAAACUUACGCUAAUACCGCAUACGACCUACGGGUGAAAGCAGGGGAUCUUCGGACCUUGCGCGAUUGAAUGAGCCGAUGUCGGAUUAGCUAGUUGGCGGGGUAAAGGCCCACCAAGGCGACGAUCCGUAGCUGGUCUGAGAGGAUGAGCAGCCACACUGGAACUGAGACACGGUCCAGACUCCUACGGGAGGCAGCAGUGGGGAAUAUGGGACAAGGGGCGCAAGCCUGAUCCAGACAUACCGAGUGGGUGAAGAAGGCCUUCGGGUUGUAAAGCUCUUUUGUUGGGAAAGAAAAGCAGCAGGUUAAUACCCCGCUGUUCUGACGGUACCCAAAGAAUAAGCACCGGCUAACUUCGUG